GCAGUCCUGAGAUAUCUGUCAUAUUUAAAUCGCAGUAUAAGAUGCAGCUAAGAUUUCUAACUCAUACUGCCCACCCAUCCUUCUUAAAGGAGUGUGGGAAAAGACGCAAACAGAAGGUGGAAAGGGACAAAUACAAGUUGUCCCAUCCCUGAAAUGUUUCCUAUUUCACUGGGUGAUGUCAGAGCGUCAGGAGCAGCAGCAAAAAUACCUUCUGUAUUGUGUCAACUCCGCAGGCCUUAAAAAAAACUCUUUGGGAUUUCAGUUAAUGCUUCUACUAUUUUUUUCUUUAAAGUCAUCCUGGCCACCGCCUUUUCCUCAUAAGGAAAGGGAAUCAAGUGUGAACUCCAACCGCCCACGGCUACAGCAAAUGCCCCACAGCCCCGAGGCAGCCUCGAAAAAUAACGGGCCCGGGAGAAAGCUUUCCACCGCGAGCAGGCGUGCGGAAGAGCUCCCACCUGCUCGGCUGCGCACAGCGGUUUCCUAUGGCCUUCCGGACCCUCCUCAAAGGCUCCAGGACGCGCCAACCCCACCGAGCGCGCUAAGCACUGCAGGCAGCGAAGGGCAAACGGAGGUGCGUGGGGUCGCGCGGCCAGCAACCCUCCGGCCCUCCCGCCCCAGGAAUCCGGGCAGCCGCAGGCCCCGCCGGACCCUAGCGGGGCCGGGGCGGGGCGGGGGGCCGCAGCGCCGAAGCGCCCACCUCCCAGACCCCAGGCAGGCUAGGCUGGAAGUCGGCAAUCUCCAGUGAUUCUCAUCUCCUCCCAUCUUGGAGCUGGGAUUACAGAUCAUACCGUCCACUUUCCAAGGCUGAUCUCCACAAGUUUCGAUCUGGAACCUGUAACAAAAGCCAAAUUUACUAACCCUGAAAAAUGGAAAUAUGUUACUUUUAAGAGAUUCUGUCUUCAAUAUCCAAAAGAAAGUCCCUGAGCCUUAGCUCGAGCUGCCUUUCUGCAGACAUCUGUGAUGUGUCACAUGCACUGGAAGAUCUUCCCCGAGUGAAAAGGAACGAGUUUUAAUUUUGAGAACACAUAAACGUAAAAGUACUGAUCCAAGAUAUGGAUGAGAAAAAUGGAAGCAUUAAGUCAUGCUUGGCCCUGGAGCAAAUGGGGGAAAAAUGAUUGGAAAACAUUGGCUGCUAUGUGGGUGAGAAAGGAGAUGAUGCAGACUAAUAAAGAAGUUGCUGGAAUCAGCCAAGUGGCUGGCUAGGUGAUGCCAGUGGCAGAAUAGGGAGACAACUACCAGAGGAGAGACGCACUCAAAUUUCAGUUUUUUGAGACAGACUCUUUAUGCAGCCCAGACUGAUUUCACACCUGCAGUUCUCCUGAUGCUGCUCCCAACGGGAUUACAGGACUGCAGAAAAUAGUAAAGAAAACCAUCAAUGAAAUGAAGAGGCAGCCUGCAGAAUGGAAGAAACUCUUUGCAAGCUACUUGCCUAACUCCUAAGGGAUUCAUAUCCACAAUACACAAGGAAUUAAAAAAAUUAACUGAGCUGAGAAGAUGGACAAGUAUGCUGACCUGAGUUUGAGACCGAGAACCCACAUAAAAACCUGAGUGUGAUGGUGUACACUUGUAUCCCAAUACUGGUAAGGCAGUAACAGGAAGAUCCCUGGGGGCUCAAAACCUAAAAAUAGAACUACCACUGGAUCCAGCUAUACAACUCCUAGCUCUAUGCUUUAAGGAAUCUGAGUCAGCAUUCCAAAGGUAUCUGUACAUUCAUGUUGACUGUGGUAUUACUUACAAUAGCCAAAUUAUGUAACCAGCUUAGAUGCCUAGCAACAGGUGCAAUGAAUAAGAAAACAGGGUACAUAUACAUGAUAAAGUAUUACUCAGUAGAAUAAACCCAUGUCAUUUACAUGUCAAAAUGGAUGGAACUGGAGAUCAACAUAUUGAACCAAAUAAGCUAAACUCAGAAAGAUAUAUACCACAUUUUCUCAUCUCUGAGGGAUCUAAACUUAAAAUAUAUACAUAUAUAAGUGCAUUACAUGUGUGUGUAUAUGUGUGUGUGUGGCAUGGAAGCAGAAGGGGGACUAUUUGGGAAGAAGGGGACCAGCGGAAAAGGCAAGAGAUGAUAAUGGGAUGAACAUAACCAAAGUACAUGAUAUACACAUAUGAAAAUGCCACUAUGAAACUCACUGCUUCAUACAAUGAAAUCUGCUAAUAAAGGGCUUAAUUCUUCAUUCAUAAUCCUUUAGCUUAAAGACUAUUUGUAGUUAGUUACUAAACUAAACUAGAGGCUCAGGUUCAUUGUAUUAUUCUUCCAGCACAUAAAUAUACACUAAUUUUAAAAAUAGAAUCAAUAAUUCAAACAUUCCG
This is a long non-coding RNA of Nannospalax galili (Upper Galilee mountains blind mole rat), 2310 nucleotides long. RefSeq lists it as uncharacterized. The record is from RefSeq and is a predicted model, not a curated record. Lineage: Eukaryota; Metazoa; Chordata; Mammalia; Rodentia; Spalacidae. The transcript is spliced from 7 exons.